AGUGAACGCUGGCGGUAGGCCUAACACAUGCAAGUCGAACGGCAGCACAGUAAGAGCUUGCUCUUACGGGUGGCGAGUGGCGGACGGGUGAGGAAUACAUCGGAAUCUACUUUUUCGUGGGGGAUAACGUAGGGAAACUUACGCUAAUACCGCAUACGACCUACGGGUGAAAGCAGGGGAUCUUCGGACCUUGCGCGAUUGAAUGAGCCGAUGUCGGAUUAGCUAGUUGGCGGGGUAAAGGCCUCCAAGGCGACGAUCCGUAGCUGGUCUGAGAGGAUGAUCAGCCACACUGGAACUGAGACACGGUCCAGACUCCUACGGGAGGAAGCAGUGGGGAAUAUUGGACAAUGGGCGCAAGCCUGAUCCAGCCAUACCGCGUGGGUGAAGAAGGCCUUCGGGUUGUAAAGCCCUUUUGUUGGGAAAGAAAAGCAGCAGGUUAAUACCCCGCUGUUCUGACGGUACCCAAAGAAUAAGCACCGGCUAACUUCGUG
Molecule: ribosomal RNA, 491 nt
Filed under: uncultured bacterium
Lineage: Bacteria
Description: partial 16S ribosomal RNA
Rfam family: Bacterial small subunit ribosomal RNA
Source: RNAcentral